UGAGGAAUAUUGGUCAAUGGGCGCAAGCCUGAACCAGCCAUGCCGCGUGCAGGAAGAAGGUCCUAUGGAUUGUAAACUGCUUUUAUUUGGGAAUAAACCUCUGGUCGUGCACCGGAGCUGAAGGUACCAAAUGAAUAAGCACCGGCUAACUCCGUGCCAGCAGCCGCGGUAAUACGGAGGGUGCAAGCGUUAUCCGGAAUCAUUGGGUUUAAAGGGUCCGCAGGCGGACUUAUAAGUCAGUGGUGAAAGCCUACAGCUUAACUGUAGAACUGCCAUUGAUACUGUAAGUCUUGAAUUCGGUCGAAGUGGGCGGAAUGUGUAGUGUAGCGGUGAAAUGCUUAGAUAUUACACAGAACACCGAUAGCGAAGGCAGCUCACUAGGCCUGGAUUGACGCUCAGGGACGAAAGCGUGGGGAUCAAACAGG
RNAcentral lists this ribosomal RNA (425 nucleotides) under uncultured Fluviicola sp. RNAcentral's name for it is "bacterial SSU rRNA". It matches the Rfam family "Bacterial small subunit ribosomal RNA", at positions 355 to 776 of the family's 1533-position model. Lineage: Bacteria; Pseudomonadati; Bacteroidota; Flavobacteriia; Flavobacteriales; Crocinitomicaceae. The record is from RNAcentral.